GGUCAAUUCUGUCUCCCUUCAAAGCAAUUCAGCUCACGUGACAUCAUAUUUUAGAUGGACACUUUCAACAUUCAAACUACGGCAGUAGAGAAAAAGGCUCAAGUCAUCAUUCAAGUUAUUUCCCCUGUUUUUUUCAAUCGCUUUGCCAUGGUCAAAUGCCAUUAAAGGGUUAUUUUACUGGUGGUGCCAUCAGAGAAAGCUACGACUUUGCCACCCACGUUAACCGGCUGCUCUGCACUUCACAGCUGGUGGUGGUAGUGUCCAGAAGUGGGGGACGUUCAAGUUUUUCUUUGCGAUUUCCCAGGGAACAACUGUCAUUUUCCUUGGCCAAGAGCUGGACAAGACGAGGUGCAGGGCGGACAUGUUGUAUGGAAAACUGACAAAGGAGUCAUCCCGUUGUCCCAUUUGGCACAAUCAUGUUGAUGUAAAGCAUGCCGCUUGUACUUGUUUACAUGCGCGGCUGUGAAACACGUUGUCAGGAACAUGGCGGCGUGCCAGGUAAUUCUGCAUCGCCUUCUUUUUUUUCCCGGUGGCCGUGCCAAACGAGACGACACCCAUCGCCUGCAUGGAUCUGCUCUGAGUCAGCACACGAACACAACAUUACAACUAGUCACUAAAUGUGGCGCUAGCGAGUUUAGCCUGCUAUGAUAACAAGGUUAGCCACUUAGCUCACUAAACAAAAUGCUAACCCUAACCCUAAUGCCAAGUCAAUAUCCGUGGUGCUUGCGAGUUUAGCCAGCGAAGCUUAA
Molecule: long non-coding RNA, 749 nt
Organism: Phycodurus eques (leafy seadragon)
Lineage: Eukaryota; Metazoa; Chordata; Actinopteri; Syngnathiformes; Syngnathidae
Exons: 3
Source: RefSeq, a predicted model, not a curated record